GGGUACAUGAUCGGGCUGGACCUCUCGGGGUUACAGCCUUGCUGAAUUAUUCACCCUUGUCUUUUGCGUACUUCUUGUUUCCUUGGUGGGUUCGCCCACCACUAGGACAAACAUAAACCUUUUGUAAUUGCAAUCAGCGUCAGUAACAAAUUAAUAAUUACAACUUUCAACAACGGAUCUCUUGGUUCUGGCAUCGAUGAAGAACGCAGCGAAAUGCGAUAAGUAGUGUGAAUUGCAGAAUUCAGUGAAUCAUCGAAUCUUUGAACGCACAUUGCGCCCUUUGGUAUUCCAAAGGGCAUGCCUGUUCGAGCGUCAUUUGUACCCUCAAGCUUUGCUUGGUGUUGGGCGUCUUGUCUCUAGCUUUGCUGGAGACUCGCCUUAAAGUAAUUGGCAGCCGGCCUACUGGUUUCGGAGCGCAGCACAAGUCGCACUCUCUAUCAGCAAAGGUCUAGCAUCCAUUAAGCCUUUUUUUCAACUUUUGACCUCGGAUCAGGUAGGGAUACCCGCUGAACUUAAGCAUAUCAA
This 525-nucleotide ribosomal RNA is filed under the name fungal sp. RNAcentral's name for it is "eukaryotic LSU rRNA". The stretch from base 162 to 315 matches the Rfam family "5.8S ribosomal RNA". Lineage: Eukaryota; Fungi. The record is from RNAcentral.